Molecule: ribosomal RNA, 254 nt
Filed under: uncultured bacterium
Lineage: Bacteria
Description: partial 16S ribosomal RNA
Rfam family: Bacterial small subunit ribosomal RNA
Source: RNAcentral
UUCGUAGGGUGCAAGCGUUGUCCGGAUUUAUUGGGCGUAAAGAGCUCGUAGGUGGUUCGGUAAGUCGGAUGUGAAAUCUCCAGGCUCAACCUGGAGGGGUCAUUCGAUACUGCCGUGACUAGAGGUCGGUAGGGGAGUGUGGAAUUCCUGGUGGAGCGGUGAAAUGCGCAGAUAUCAGGAGGAACACCCGUAGCGAAGGCGGCACUCUGGGCCGAUACUGACACUGAGGAGCGAAAGCGUGGGGAGCGAACAGG